GGAGCUACCCAGCUGCACCCAGCCCAAGUGGUCAGCUGCAGAACUGUGAGCCAAGGUGCUUGCUUUAAAUCAUUGUUUGGGCUUUUUUUUUUUUUUUAAUGCAGCAGCAGAUGACUGAUACAUUCUUCUGGCCAUUGUCCUAUGUUCUUGUGAAAUGAUCUCUCUGAAAUGCAGCCUGAACGUGACAUCCCUGUUCAGCAUCUCUGUUGACUGGCAUGGCCUUCUGAUAUCUUCUCUCUCCCAAAUCUCCUGGAAAGUAAGUCUGGCCUCCUGCCCACUGCUUUAAAUACUACCCCAGAUACAGGGAGCUCUGCCACCAUCAAGGCAACUCAGAUGGUAGGAUCCCUGGUGCUCAGGCCUUUUCUCUGACCUCCCAGUCUCAUGGGCAUCCCUGGUCUGGACCGAGCCCUGCUUCAGGAGUCCUGCUCACUGACCUCUUCUAGUUCACAGGAGGAAACUUCCCACCUGCUCCUCAUGAAACCUGUGACUCAUCUCCGGAGAACAAGAGAACGUGGAUUCUUUAUCACUGAGCCACUAGUGAUAAAGCCCAUCAGACGAAUGGCUGAUUCAUCCGGCUAUGCCAGGUGUGAGCCCUACAAGGUGAGCCUGGGCCUGGACCCAGGUGUGAAAUACCCCAGGAAGCCAACAGGAGCUGGGCUGCCAAUCAAAGGGCUGUCCCUGAUGGCAUAGUGGUCUGGCGGCCCACCCCCUGCCUGCCUCUCCAUCACCAAGCUCCAGGAACACUGCCUCCUUGCCAUUUCCUGAAUGAACCUGGGUCUUCUUUGAUGUCCCUUGAGGACAGCUCCUUCUCGUGCAGCAGGAGAGAUCCCCUCUCCCCAACCCUUCCUUGGAGACUGUCCUUGGCACCAGGCCCAAUGACCUCUCCUCCCCAGGCCCUUCUAGCACCUUGCCUGCCUGACUGCCCACCCCUCACCUCACUGGUCUUAUCUUAAUGAAAGUGAAAAGUGAAAAUGAAGUCACUCAGUCGUGUCCGACUCUUUGCGACCCCAUGGACUGUAGCCUACCAGGCUCCUCCGUCCAUGGGAUUCUCCAGGCAAGAAUCCUGGAGUGGGUUGCCAUUUCCUUCUCCAGGGGACCUUCCCGACCUAGGGAUUGAACCCAGGUGUCCCGCAUUGUAGGCAGACGCUUUACCGUCUGAGCCACCAGGGAAGUCUUAAUUAAUAG
This is a long non-coding RNA of Bos taurus (domestic cattle), 1185 nucleotides long. Lineage: Eukaryota; Metazoa; Chordata; Mammalia; Artiodactyla; Bovidae. The record is from Ensembl.